Molecule: long non-coding RNA, 1884 nt
Filed under: Mus musculus (house mouse)
Lineage: Eukaryota; Metazoa; Chordata; Mammalia; Rodentia; Muridae
Description: long non-coding RNA chr6:8551302-8553186
Source: RNAcentral
AAAAGAGACUUUUUACGUUGGACACCAUCCUUACCACUUUGUCAUAGGAAAAGAAUACCGUGCUGUUAAAAAUAUCUCAUGAAACCCACAGACUUUCAUUUCUCACAGGAAUACAUUAACAGAGCUUUCAUGCUUGUCCCAGAGUGUUUAAUUCUUCUGUAUUAAAAAAAGUAGUACUAUUUUAGAAUAAAUGUUUCUGGGCUUUAUUGAUUUUGUUUAUUAAGACCUCUUAGGGUCAGAAUGGUCCUUGUAAUUUAGAUGAGCAUGAGUAAUGGCUGCCAACUCCUGAGUCCUCUUUAAAUAAUCAUUAUUAACAGAGGUUUUGUGCAUGGUAGGGGGAGUAUACACAUGCUUUGAGAAUGUCUAUGUCUGUAGAAAGAUAUACUAAACAGGUACAUGCUGGUAUAGUUGUAUGUUAUACUAUAACUAAUUUCAUUUUUUUGCUUAAUGGAUCCUAGGCAUCAGUCUUGACUUUAUGGUUUAUUAAAUACUACUCUCUGCUGUAAUGUUGCUAUGAAACUAUCAACUUUACAGUAUUGAAUCUUACAUAAAAGGUUAUUUGUUUACUUAGUUAUUUCUGUGUUUUAGAAAAAAUGUAAAACCUUUUUAUAAGAUCAUCUAAAUAUUGCUUAAUUUGUUUUAUGAUCUGCUAUUGUAAUUAAGGUCUUUGACUACCUUCUAAUUUAUUUGUACUAUAUCUCAAUUGAAUGCUUUUGUUUCUAAUACAUUUUCAGAUAAUUUUCUUUGGCUUUUCAGACUUGAUCAUGCAAACAAUAAUUCUGUCUUAUUUUUACCUAUUUUUUUUUGUUGUAAGUCUUCUCUUAUAAUUGCACGUGUUAAUACUCUGAACCACUCAGACAACUGAUUAUGUUAGCAAAUACUGUUCUUCUCUCUAAGGUUCUAAAUGUAUUCAGUAGGCAUUAUUGUGCUAUGAUUUAAGUAUGCUUGCUGUGUAUGCUUCCAGUACUUCUAUUCUUAUUUAACUAAUUUUGUUUCUUAUUUUAGUCAAGAAGAAUUGCUUAUGUGAUAGAUUACUUGUACAAAAAAUGACUUUUAUUGUUGUUUAAGAUAGCAUUCUAUACUAUGCCUCUCCCUGAGAGACAAAUUUCCACCUAUGUCACUUCUUAGCUGUAGUGAAUCUCAGUAGUAGAUUAUUGUUUGGUUGUACUAAUGAACAUUUUCAGAAAAAUACUUUGUUUACAGAAACCUAAAAUAAAUAUACAAUAGCAUAUGAAUUAUUUAUUAGUAUUUAUGAUAUUAAAUAUUCAGAAGUUUAUUUUGAAGACCUGAUUUUUUUUUAGAUGAUGUAAUACAUAGGUUAGUGUUAGUUAUACUCGCUGUGUGAAAAGGUCUCGCAAGCUUUCCUUCCUUUGUGUUCUAGCAUGGUGUAAAUACCAUUUGAAUUGUCAUUUGAGUAUGAAAGGAUUUUAGUCUAUGAAAUUUAUUAGCAUAGUAUGUUUUCAGAUUGUAGUUCUGUAGGGGAAAAACUCAUUUGUCAUGGCUCAUGUUGUUUGUUUAUAUGUGAAAGAAAUUUCAAUACAUGUGUUCUAUGAGCCAGAUACUUGCAGGAAGGUCCCUUCAGCUUAGGAGUUUGAGAGUAGCCUUGGUGAUAUGGUAAAAAUUCUAUCUCGAACAAACAACACCAUUAAAAUUUGUAUCCUUUAAGGAUGAAAAGUGGGUUGUUAAAUCUUGAAAGAUGCCCGAGGUGGUGUGGUGCAUGCCUUCAAUCCCAGCUCUUAGAAGGCAGAGGCAGGCGGAUAUCUAUGAGUUUGUCAGCCUGGUCUCCAGAGUGGUUCCAGAACAGCCAGGGAUAGACAGAGAAACCCUGUCUCAAAUAAAACAAGAACAGAAACAAAACCCAAACAAAAACAAAACAAAAACCUC